RNAcentral lists this long non-coding RNA (2376 nucleotides) under Homo sapiens (human). RNAcentral's name for it is "HSALNT0260561". The record is from RNAcentral. Lineage: Eukaryota; Metazoa; Chordata; Mammalia; Primates; Hominidae.
AGGGGGCACGCGGCGUCUCUCUGGUUCUCUCCCCCGGUCUCCUUCUGUCUUCGAAACUUGCCUGACCUCCCUCUGGUUGUCUCCUGCCCCGCCCUCUGUCUCUGUCUCCCCAUCUCUGUUGCUGUCUCUGUGUCCCCUGGGACCUUGAAAGUGGGUAUUGGGGCCCCGGGAAGGGACUUUGGCCGGACUCGGGCCCCACCCGAGUGGAUCGUUAACCCAGGAUGUGAGAAGUGGCUGUGUGGAGAGGCCUCACCCCUUCCCUUCCUUUCGACCUCUCUCUGGAUCUCCCUUAUCCCCCUUCAUGGCGAAACAUCCCGAGCACAGACCUGUGUUAAUUCCACCUCCACCCCUUGCUCCCGGUGGGACCUCAGACAAGCCAUCCCCUGCCUUGAGACUCAGUUUGUUCUUCUGGAAAAUGGGACCAAUGGCAACCCCUGCCUGCUGGUGUUGUGGGGGCCACAGCAAGGGAAGAGGGGAGGAAUUCGGUUGGACAGGCUGGGGGCUGUGUUCCCUGCCCAUCCAACCCCACCCCUGGGGACCCUCAGACACAGGAGAGGGGUGUGGAGCACUAUCCCAAUGCACAGAAAGGAAAGCUGAGGUUUGGAGGGGCGAGGCUUAGGGUGGGGACCCUCAGAGGUAGGGUGGGAAGGACACCCAAGCCUGUCCCACUCCUGGCAUCCCAGGGCAGCUGGUGCAGUGGUUCCAACCUAGCAGGACUGUAGAGGGGAGAAGAUGUGAUGGGUCCGGUGGGAGCUUCGAAGGGCUGGGAGAGACGGUGCUGCUGGAAGAGAGGGUGCUGAUGGUUCUCUGAGGUUGGAAGAGGGAUAAAAGGGUCAGAAGGAGGAGGAUCUGAAGAAGGAAGAUAGGUCUGAGAGAGAAGUAGAUGGUUUAGUGGGAGGAGGGGGAGAGGAUCUGAAGGAGGAGGACAGGGUCUGUUGGAGGAGGUAAGGGUCUGAUGGAGGAAAUAAGGGUCUGAGGGUGGAGGCGAGGUUUGGAGGGAGGAGGUGAAGGUCUGAGGGAGGAGACAAGGGUCUGAAGGAGGAGAUAAGAGUCUGAGGAAGGAGGCGAGGGUUUGAGAGAGGAGGUGAGGGUCUGAAGGAGGAGGUGAGGGUUUGAGAGAAUAGGUGAGGGUUUGAAGGAGGAGGUAAGGGUCUGAGGGAGGAGGUGAGGGUCUGAAGGAGGAAGUGAGGGUCUGAGUGAGGAGGUGAGGGUCUGAGGGGAGGGGAGAGUAUCUGAGGGAGAGGGCACAGUCUGAGGAAGUCUGAGAAGCACUAAGUGAGGGGACGCAGCUCUGAGGGAGGAGGAGAGAGUUGGAGGGGAAAGAAGGGUCUGAGGAAAGAAGAUUUGGAGAGAGUCUGAGGGUAGAGGCCAGAUCUGAGGGAGAAGAAAGAGGCUCAGGGGAAAAGAUCUGAGGGUCCGAGGGUGGAAGGCAUGGACUAGGGGAGGAGGAGCUGGUGGGGUGGAGGGGUGGAGAGGCGUGCCUCCGGAGCCAGCAGGGACCAAGGGGAGGGAAGGGAAGGGAGGCUGGGAGGCAGCCCCGCCCUGCAGCUGUCUCUAAUUUCCCAGAAUCUUCUGCUCUCAGGAAAGUCCCAGCUCCCACAGCAGCCUCCCUCCAAUGUCGGGAACGGAGGAUGCGGAACCAGGAUGGCCACCCCCACCCUCCCCCGGCUCCUUGCACCCCAGGCGGAAAGGACUAGGGUCUCCUUUCUCUGGGCCUUGGCCUCUGGAGGGCCCCCACCCGCAGGGGCAGCCCCUGGAUGAGUCUUAGAAACUUCCCAGAGGAGGCCAGGAAGUUCUGCUUGGUGUCUAACCACUUUCCCCUCAUGCAGGCCGCCCUUUGUACCUGUUCAGAUCUCCUCCCCAGCUGCUGUUUCUUUUUCCCCAACCCAUCCUGGGGGAGGAAAGGCCAGGAAUUUACCUGCUCAAAGUCCUGAGAGGGAAACGAAAUUCCAUCUGGAAGUCUGUAGGCUUGAGGCAGCUUUCUUGCUCUCAGGGGCCUCAAUUUCCCUUUCUAAGAGGAGAGAGUAGGGCUGGUCAGGGCCUAAGUUCCCAUCUGGCUCAAUUACUGGGUCUUGUCCUGCUUUUUUUUUGAGACAAGAUCUGGCUCUGUCUCCCAGGCUGAAGUGCAGUGGUGAGAUCAUAGCUCACUGUAGCCUUGAACUCCUGGACUCAAAUGAUCCUCCUGCCUCAACCUCCCAAGUAGGUGGGACUACAGGCAUGUGCCGCAAUGACUGGCUAAUAAAAAAAACAAUUUGUAGACUCAGGGGGUCUCACUGUGUUGCCCAGGGUGUUCUCGAACUCCUGGGCUCAAGCGAACCUCCCUCCUCGGUCUCCCAAAGUGCUGGGAUUACAGGCGUGAGCCACCGCAUCUGGCUU